GCAGUAUCACCUGUUUCCCCUUACUGUAAAAUUUCAUAAUUAGUUUCAUAAAGUUCUAGGAAACAUCACCUAAUGUCGUCAGCCAUUCGAUGCCGAGCACGGCCUCAUAAUCAUCAAGAGGGAGGAGGAAGAAAUAUGCAAUUAUCUCUUGGUCUUGCAGCAACAGUUUCACCCGCGGGCACCUAUGAUCAUACUUCAAAAUUCAUCCGUCGGCGACCUUAACGUCAAACCUACUGCAAUUCUCGAUAGAUAAGGCCAUCCAGAUAGCAACCUUGCUGUUUAUAAAAUUAUUAGUGCUCCCGG
RNAcentral lists this long non-coding RNA (303 nucleotides) under Musa acuminata (dwarf banana). RNAcentral describes it as "long non-coding RNA (MACU_LNC011827)". Lineage: Eukaryota; Viridiplantae; Streptophyta; Magnoliopsida; Zingiberales; Musaceae. The record is from RNAcentral.